AUUGAACGCUGGCGGCAGGCCUAACACAUGCAAGUCGAGCGGUAGAGAGGUGCUUGCACCUUUUGAGAGCGGCGGACGGGUGAGUAAUGCCUAGGAAUCUGCCUGGUAGUGGGGGAUAACGCUCGGAAACGGACGCUAAUACCGCAUACGUCCUACGGGAGAAAGCAGGGGACCUUCGGGCCUUGCGCUAUCAGAUGAGC
RNAcentral lists this ribosomal RNA (200 nucleotides) under uncultured bacterium. Its description in RNAcentral is "partial 16S ribosomal RNA". It matches the Rfam family "Bacterial small subunit ribosomal RNA", at positions 30 to 230 of the family's 1533-position model. The record is from RNAcentral.